This 253-nucleotide ribosomal RNA is filed under the name uncultured bacterium. RNAcentral describes it as "partial 16S ribosomal RNA". It matches the Rfam family "Bacterial small subunit ribosomal RNA", at positions 524 to 776 of the family's 1533-position model. The record is from RNAcentral.
UACGUAGGGGGCGAGCGUUGUCCGGAGUUACUGGGCGUAAAGCGCACGCAGGCGGUUUUUUACGUCUGGAGUGACAGUUCCCGGCUCAACUGGGAAAGGUCUUCGGAAACGGCGAGACUUGAGGGCUUCAGAGGGACACGGAAUUCCGGGUGGAGUGGUGAAAUGCGUAGAGAUCCGGAGGAACACCAAUGGCGAAGGCAGUGUCCUGGGAAGCAUCUGACGCUCAGGUGCGAAAGCUAGGGGAGCGAACAGG